Small nuclear RNA from Mastomys coucha (southern multimammate mouse), 144 nucleotides. RefSeq annotates it as U4 spliceosomal RNA. The record is from RefSeq and is a predicted model, not a curated record. The transcript has a single exon. NCBI's taxonomy places the organism in Eukaryota, Metazoa, Chordata, Mammalia, Rodentia, Muridae.
AGCAUUGUGCAGCGGCAAUAUCGUAGCCAAUGAGGUUUAUCUGAGGCAUGAUCAUUGGUAAUUGAAAACUGUUCCCAAUAAAGUAAAAUGCUUAACACCCUAGGAGGUGUUAAGAAGAACUUGAAAGAACUGGGCAGGAAAGUG